GACGAACGCUGGCGGCGUGCUUAACACAUGCAAGUCGAACGGAAAGGCCCCCACCUUGGUGGGGGUGCUCGAGUGGCGAACGGGUGAGUAACACGUGGGUGAUCUGCCCUGUACUUCGGGAUAAGCUUGGGAAACUGGGUCUAAUACCGGAUAGGACCAUGGUUUAGUUUCUCAUGGUGGAAAAAUUAUUGUUUUGGUGCAGUAUGAGCUCGGGGCCUAUUAGCUUGUUGGUGGGGUAAUGGCCUACCAAGGCGUCGAAGGGUAGCCGGCCUGGGAGGGUGGACGGCCAGAAUGGGACUGAGAUACGGCCCAGCUUCCGACGGGAGGCAGAAGUGGGGAAUAGCGAACAAUGGGAGCAAGACUGAUGAAGCGCCGCCGAGUGGUGGAUGACGGCCGUCGGGUUGUAAACUCCUUUCGUUAGGGACGAAGCCACACCUUUUUUGGGUGUGGUGAAGGUAACUUUGUUAAGAAGCACCGGCUAACUACGUG
Molecule: ribosomal RNA, 489 nt
Filed under: uncultured bacterium
Lineage: Bacteria
Description: partial 16S ribosomal RNA
Rfam family: Bacterial small subunit ribosomal RNA
Source: RNAcentral